AAGUUUAGGUUAAACAAACCAGGAGCCUUCAAAGCCCCAAACAAGAAUAAAUCUUAACUUCU
This 62-nucleotide transfer RNA is filed under the name Cyrtodactylus annulatus. RNAcentral's name for it is "tRNA-Trp". The record is from RNAcentral. Lineage: Eukaryota; Metazoa; Chordata; Lepidosauria; Squamata; Gekkonidae.